UUCCUCUCAGGAUCGCACUUGGACAAUUUCUAGUACUGUACCAGUCUCGGCCGCAGGAAGGAGAGUCAAGCAGAGGCCUACCCAUUCCAUUCCUAGCUUAGGCAGUGGCUAGCAAGUGGAAGGAAAUCUGCUACAAGU
Molecule: small nucleolar RNA, 138 nt
Organism: Ornithorhynchus anatinus (platypus)
Lineage: Eukaryota; Metazoa; Chordata; Mammalia; Monotremata; Ornithorhynchidae
Source: RefSeq, a predicted model, not a curated record